This 650-nucleotide ribosomal RNA is filed under the name uncultured organism. RNAcentral's name for it is "bacterial SSU rRNA". It matches the Rfam family "Bacterial small subunit ribosomal RNA", at positions 837 to 1495 of the family's 1533-position model. The record is from RNAcentral.
UAUUCAGUGCCGCAAUCCAACGAGAUAAGUCUCCUGCAUGGGGAGUACGAUCGCAAGGAUUAAACUCAAUGGAAUUGACGGGGGCCAGCACAAGCAGCGGAGCGUGUGAUUUAAUUAGAGGCUACGCGAAGAACACUUACUUGGACUUGACAUGCUGGUAGUAGGUAACCGAAAGGGGACCGACUUGGGAGACAGCACAGGUGUUGUAUGGCUAUCGUCAGCUCGUGUCGUGAGGUGUUCGGUUAAGUCAGAAGACGAGCGUAACUCCUGGCGUGUAGUUACAAGUAUCAUAACGCGACUGCCCGGGGAAACCGGGAGGAAGGUGGGGAUCACUUCAAGUCUAGCACUGGCUUUGAUGUCCAGGGCUACACACACGGUUCUAUGACCGGUAACAAUUGGCUAGCCAAGCCUAGAGGUGGCGCGAAUCCAGGAAAGCCGGUCACAGUGCGGAUCGUAGGGUGCAACGUCCCCUGCAUGAAGUCGGAGUUGAUAGUGUACUAGGAUUAGCUACACAGCGUUGAUACGUUCCCGGGCUUUGUCACACCGCCUGUCACAUCAUGCGAGCUGGUCACGCCUGACCUCAGUGACACUACUCUCAAGNAAGCAGCAGCAUAGAGUGGGCCUGUUGACUGGGACGAAGUCGUAACAAG